RNAcentral lists this small RNA (1423 nucleotides) under Arabidopsis thaliana (thale cress). Its description in RNAcentral is "ATSL104240". The record is from RNAcentral. Lineage: Eukaryota; Viridiplantae; Streptophyta; Magnoliopsida; Brassicales; Brassicaceae.
AAUAAUUUAUUGCCACUUCUCUCUACUAUCUAAUAUUCAAAAACAUUUUUUAUACUCUAAUUAAAGAAUUAAAUAUAUAUAUAUAUAAAAUGUUGUAUAACAAUCGAAACUUUUGGCGUUCAAGAAAAAAAAACACUCGUUUUUUUCAUCAAUAAAUUUUUAAACCUUCAAAUUAGUUGAUUGUAAGAGGAAAAACUCCUUAUUUGGAACAUGAAUUUUAUUCCUUUGUCAUUCUUUUCACAAAAAUUUAUAAUUCCAUGUAUAAGAAACUAGGUCAAUGUUGAAAAUUAAAAAAAAUAAAAGAAUUACAAAAAAAUUAUACAUGCAAUCAAACAUUUAAACAAGAAUCUAUUGGUUGACCAAACGUUAACUAAUAUUUCUAUAUUAAGAGGUUUAAGGUUGGUGUCCCAAAUACUACGAUUUAUUAACAUAUUUACAGAUUAAUUGAGAAAAGUGUAUAUGAAAUCUCCUGUGAUGUACAAUUAUAGUCGUUCACGAGAUUUUAUGCUGAAAGGGAAGUAUCAUCAGGUCGUAGAUCAUUGAAGGUGUCCAUCAAAAACAUAAAUAGGCAUGAAAAAAUAAAUCGGAUUCGACCCAAACCAAUACCCAGACCAAAAAAAGAGGUUAAGGACGGGUUAGGGUUUCAAGAAAAUACUUCAUUGGAUAGAGUGUUGGUAAACCUGUGGGUAUCGGUCCGGUUCGAAGAUUACCCAUUACCACAUCGGUACCCAUAAACCUGAUACAAGACAUGUGUAUAUAUACGGUAUAUUAAUAUAUAGUCUUAUACAUUGAUAGGGUUCACACUAGCUUACCGUUCUAAUUCUAUGUUUUUGAUUUUCGGACAAUCUUUAUGUUUUCUUAUUCAUAUUCUAAUUUCUCUACUCUUAAUUCUAAGUAUUAAUCUCUGUGACUUUGGAUUGGAUUUGGAUGUCAAGUUUGAAGUUUCAUUCUUUUCUUUUGGUUGUUUUGUGCAUGUAAAUUAGUUUAAAAGUUCGGGUAUUGGAGAUACAUUUUGGGUUUAUGAGUAAUUUUUACCCAUUCAGACACGAAACAAAGAGAAUUUAAAUUUUUGGGUAUUUACCGGUUCUCAAAAUUAUUAUCCAGACUGACCCAAACCCGAAUAUACUCAAACCGAACUGGAACCGAAUAUUUACAAUUCCUUAUUGGGUAGUAAAUCUAUUAUCCAUUUAACAUGAACAUGAACAAGUUACCCAUAUGCCGAGCCUUAAAUAUAAAGAAGAAAGUAUCGUUUGUCGUAGAUCUAAUUAGGAUAAGAAGGAAUUGUCCGUUAUAGAAUAUUCUAUGUAAUUGUUUUCAUUAUUUGUAAUAAACAAUAAAUCUAUAUGUUAAAAAAAAUAUAUUGAACUUUUUAACAAAUUGAUUACAUUUAUUAAAGAAAUUUGAUGAAUAUAUAAGAAUUAUA